This 253-nucleotide ribosomal RNA is filed under the name uncultured bacterium. RNAcentral describes it as "partial 16S ribosomal RNA". It matches the Rfam family "Bacterial small subunit ribosomal RNA", at positions 524 to 776 of the family's 1533-position model. The record is from RNAcentral.
UACGGGGGGGGUAAGCGUUGUUCGGAAUUACUGGGCGUAAAGGGCUCGUAGGCGGCCAACUAAGUCAGACGUGAAAUCCCUCGGCUUAACCGGGGAACUGCGUCUGAUACUGGAUGGCUUGAAUCCGGGAGAGGGAUGCAGAAUUCCAGGUGUAGCGGUGAAAUGCGUAGAUAUCUGGAGGAAUACCGGUGGCGAAGGCGGCAUCCUGGACCGGCAUUGACGCUGAGGAGCGAAAGCCAGGGGAGCAAACGGG